Molecule: long non-coding RNA, 1905 nt
Organism: Mauremys reevesii (Reeves's turtle)
Lineage: Eukaryota; Metazoa; Chordata; Testudines; Geoemydidae
Exons: 4
Source: RefSeq, a predicted model, not a curated record
AUUUUCUAUUUGACUGCAGGCUGUACCUUCCUUCUCUUUUCCAGCUAGCACUUAUGUGGACCUGAUUACCAUUCUAUCUGAACACCUCACAAUCUUAAAAGUAUUCAUCCUCAUAAUGCCUCUGUGAGUUGUGGGAACCAGAACUGAACACAAUAUUCCAGAAGAAGUCACACCAGUGCCAGAUAUAGAGCCCUACCCUACAUGUAUGCUGAUGAGAAUCUUUGUAUGCUGAUCCACCACAGAUAUGAGCAGUGGCAACUUACCAACUCCUGCAAGCGAGUUCGAGCCUAACCAAAGAAUUCAAAAACUGAUUCCUAAACUCUACUUUUUUUUGUAUAUACAGAUUUUUAAGGACAGUUAAGCGGGUACAUAUUCAAUAAGAAACGCUUGUGAUUUGAUUUUAAUCUGUCACAUUACUCAUACUCUCUGUCUCUGUAAUGAAACUCAGUGCCAGAAAAUGUAGUACUGUGGGUGAGACUCAAAUCAUGGCAUAAGUAAAUAGUGCCUCAUGAAGCUACCCUGUUACCAUGGCAAAUUACCAUACCCAAGAGUCACUUUACGAGGGAUUGCUGAGGUAACCACAGCAGCGUGAGGCUGCAGCAGGAUUGCAGCAUUUAAGGCUGGUUCUGACAGCGGGGCUGCAGGCGGCUCCCUCCCAACGCUGACAAAGAGGGGAUGGAGGAGGCUCCUGCAUAUCUGAGAAGCCCAGUGCAAGGUGCAGAGGAGGCUGCAGUCAUCCUGGCUUGGCACAGUACUGCAAGGAGUAACAAGAGUCCCCAGUCAAUGGGGAGGCCACCCUGCUGCUGAAUAGUUCCUGCCUUGGAAUGGCUGACUGGUGAGGGAUGAGGCGAGCUCCCUGCAAGUUCAAGGAAGUAACAGCAGGGUCCUGGCAGGGUGGAGCAGAGAUCCCUGGCUAGGACUGCAAGGAGCAGGCUGUAUAUUGGAAUUUGAGAGACUUUUCAGUAUUGGCUUCACUUGUCAAAAAAGUUACCUGCCACCACUGGAAAUAAGUACUAACUACAAUUCUUUUCAUUGUGGUUAUCUUUUUCUGUAUACUGUUACUGUUCUAAGUGUGUGUGUAUGUGAAUGCAGAUACCGAUUUAACCAUCCUGGAGACCAAGCUAUGCUCUUUAUUCACAGAAUGAGUAUGUAGUGCAAGCGUCUUCCCCACUCAGGCCUCCACGGGCACCUCAACCCUGCGUCAGGUUAAGAUGGAGGCGUUCAGCCUCCAUUGCCUGCUCAAUUCUUGGGCCGCCUUCCAAGGCUAACAUCAGGAAUGCCAAUUGCGGAGGUGGUUUGUAUGAUGUGGUGUACUCUCUGUACUGGGCUAAAGUGUCUGCACUUUCCUCUAUGUAUUCUUGGAAAUUCCACUGCUUUUUAAAAAUUGCUACAACGGUGUUACCAAAAACAUUAUAUAAACCAGUUGCAUACUUCAAGAAAUACAUUUGCUACCCGCAUUGCUUAAGUGGCAAAAAGCAGUUGACUUUUGAGGUUGUAUUUGUCAAUGCACCCAAAGGUGUAUAGUCAUGUGGUUUACCAAACACUGUGGUGUCUAAAAACUGUUGGCUAGAACAAAAAUGAGUAAAUGCAAUGCAAAGCUGAAUACUAGCAGAGAGGCUAAUGCCCCAAUUCAGCAAAGCACAUUGACUGCGAUGGGGUUUAGACUUGUGCUUAAAAUCAACUGCCUUUGGUUGUAUUAGGAAUCCAUCCCCUUACAAUAAAGUUCUUGCUCACAUACUUAACUGUAAGUGAGUCCUGAAGAGGAAUUUGAAUGGAAAUGGUAGUGGUUUGUCCGAUAGGAAGUAGCGGGUACUUCUGUGUGUAGAAGGUAACAUGGGAAAAGGUGUGAGAGAAGCAGAUGAAGGAAACAUCAAGGCUGGGCAGAGAGGGCAGGGGAGAAGAGAC